GACGAAAGCUGGCGGCAUGCCUAACACAUGCAAGUCGAACGAAAAGUAGCAAUAUUUUUAGUGGCGAACGGGUGAGUAACACUUGAGCAACCUACCUUAUACAUCGGGAUAACGUCUAGAAAUGGGUGCUAAUACCGGAUAAGACCACAGUAUGACAUCAUACAGGGGUCAAAGUUCAGGCGGUAUAAGAUGGGCUCGAGUCCAAUUAGCUAGAUGGUGAGAUAACAGCCCACCAUGGCGACGAUUGGUAGCCGGCCUGAGAGGGUGAUCGGCCACACUGGAACUGAGACACGGUCCAGACUCCUACGGGAGGCAGCAGUGGGGAAUAUUGGGCAAUGGGCGAAAGCCUUACCCAGCAAUGCCGCGUGUGUGAAGAAGGUCUUCGGAUUGUAAAGCACUAUAUUGGGAAGAACACAAUGACGGUACCCAAGAGAAAAGCCCCGGACUAACUAUGUG
This 456-nucleotide ribosomal RNA is filed under the name uncultured bacterium. Its description in RNAcentral is "bacterial SSU rRNA". It matches the Rfam family "Bacterial small subunit ribosomal RNA", at positions 28 to 507 of the family's 1533-position model. The record is from RNAcentral.